UACGAAGGGUGCAAGCGUUACUCGGAAUUACUGGGCGUAAAGCGUGCGUAGGUGGUUUGUUAAGUCUGCUGUGAAAUCCCCGGGCUCAACCUGGGAAUGGCAGUGGAUACUGGCAAGCUAGAGUGCGGUAGAGGGUAGUGGAAUUCCCGGUGUAGCGGUGAAAUGCGUAGAUAUGCGGAGGAACACCAGUGGCGAAGGCGGCUCACUGGCCCGAUACUGACGCUGAGGCACGAAAGCGUGGGGAGCAAACAGGG
RNAcentral lists this ribosomal RNA (254 nucleotides) under uncultured bacterium. RNAcentral describes it as "partial 16S ribosomal RNA". It matches the Rfam family "Bacterial small subunit ribosomal RNA", at positions 524 to 777 of the family's 1533-position model. The record is from RNAcentral.